GCUGGGCAUGGCGGCGCAUGCCUGUAGUCCCAGCUGCUUGGGAGGCUGGGGUGGGAGGAUCACUUGAGCCCAGGAGUUCCAGGCUGCAGUGAGCCAUGAUCGCACCACUGCAUUCCAGCCUGGGUGACAGAGCAAGACCCUGUCUCAA
This 148-nucleotide non-coding RNA is filed under the name Gorilla gorilla gorilla (western lowland gorilla). Lineage: Eukaryota; Metazoa; Chordata; Mammalia; Primates; Hominidae. The record is from Rfam by way of RNAcentral.